GGAUUGUAGUCUGCAACCCGACUACAUGAAGCUGGAAUCGCUAGUAAUCGCGGAUCAGAAUGCCGCGGUGAAUACGUUCCCGGGUCUUGUACACACCGCCCGUCACACCAUGGGAGUCGGAAAUGCCCGAAGUCUGUGACCCAACCUACGGGAGGGAGCAGCCGAAGGCAGGUCGGAUGACUGGGGUGAAGUCGUAACAAGGUAAC
Molecule: ribosomal RNA, 206 nt
Filed under: uncultured bacterium
Lineage: Bacteria
Description: partial 16S ribosomal RNA
Rfam family: Bacterial small subunit ribosomal RNA
Source: RNAcentral